This 486-nucleotide ribosomal RNA is filed under the name uncultured bacterium. Its description in RNAcentral is "partial 16S ribosomal RNA". It matches the Rfam family "Bacterial small subunit ribosomal RNA", at positions 30 to 507 of the family's 1533-position model. The record is from RNAcentral.
AUUGAACGCUGGCGGCAUGCCUUACACAUGCAAGUCGAACGGCAGCACGGGUGCUUGCACCUGGUGGCGAGUGGCGAACGGGUGAGUAAUACAUCGGAACAUGUCCUGUAGUGGGGGAUAGCCCGGCGAAAGCCGGAUUAAUACCGCAUACGAUCUACGGAUGAAAGCGGGGGACCUUCGGGCCUCGCGCUAUAGGGUUGGCCGAUGGCUGAUUAGCUAGUUGGUGGGGUAAAGGCCUACCAAGGCGACGAUCAGUAGCUGGUCUGAGAGGACGACCAGCCACACUGGGACUGAGACACGGCCCAGACUCCUACGGGAGGCAGCAGUGGGGAAUUUUGGACAAUGGGCGAAAGCCUGAUCCAGCAAUGCCGCGUGUGUGAAGAAGGCCUUCGGGUUGUAAAGCACUUUUGUCCGGAAAGAAAUACUUGGCUCUAAUACAGGCGGGGGAUGACGGUACCGGAAGAAUAAGCACCGGCUAACUACGUG